GCCUGCUUAGGUAGGAUAAAUGAUAAUAGCGGAACGAUACAGAGAAGAUCAGCAUUUGGCCCUGGGGCAAGAAUGAUCUAAAUGGCAUUAUGAACAUUACAAAACAUUU
This 109-nucleotide small nuclear RNA is filed under the name Stegodyphus mimosarum. Lineage: Eukaryota; Metazoa; Arthropoda; Arachnida; Araneae; Eresidae. The record is from RNAcentral.